GACGGAGACCCCUAGCGUUGUUCGGAAUUACUGGGCUUAAAGCGCGUGUAGGCGGAGCGGUAAGUACUUUGUGAAAGCCCUGGGCUCAACCCAGGAAUUGCUUGGUAUACUGCCGUUCUUGAGGCAGGUAGGGGUUACUGGAACCUUAGGUGGAGCGGUGAAAUGCGUAGAUAUCUAAGGGAACGCCUGUGGCGAAAGCGGGUAACUGGGCCUGACCUGACGCUGAGACGCGAAAGCGUAGGGAGCGAACGGG
RNAcentral lists this ribosomal RNA (253 nucleotides) under uncultured bacterium. RNAcentral's name for it is "partial 16S ribosomal RNA". It matches the Rfam family "Bacterial small subunit ribosomal RNA", at positions 524 to 776 of the family's 1533-position model. The record is from RNAcentral.